UAUAUGCAUAGAAGGACGCACUCGUUGCUUGGUCUAUGAACUUGUUGCCAAUGGCAGUGUUGAAUCUCACUUGCAUGGUAUGUUUCCUUGAGAACUUUGAUAUUUAUAUUGUGUAAUAUUUGGGUAAAUGCUGCUACCUUUUCAUCAAAAUUGACCAGAAGCCCCCUGUAUAUAUUAUAAUUUCCAUACUAAUAAGCUUAUUGUAAACUUAAAUCUUGUGUGAUGCCCGUUUAUUUGUGUUUCAGGUUUUGACAAGAGAAGUGGACCUCUUGACUGGGAUGCACGG
RNAcentral lists this unclassified non-coding RNA (286 nucleotides) under Hevea brasiliensis (rubber tree). The record is from RNAcentral. Lineage: Eukaryota; Viridiplantae; Streptophyta; Magnoliopsida; Malpighiales; Euphorbiaceae.